AAUCAAAGUCAUACUACCCUGAACACACCCAACCGUGUCUGAGCUUGGAAGCUAAGCAGGGUCAGGCCUGGUUAGCAUUUGGAUGGGAGACCAUUUGGAGAUACCAGAUGCCCUAGGCU
This is a non-coding RNA of Podarcis lilfordi (Lilford's wall lizard), 119 nucleotides long. The record is from the annotation of a GenBank genome assembly. NCBI's taxonomy places the organism in Eukaryota, Metazoa, Chordata, Lepidosauria, Squamata, Lacertidae.